Molecule: ribosomal RNA, 209 nt
Filed under: Pichia kudriavzevii
Lineage: Eukaryota; Fungi; Ascomycota; Pichiomycetes; Pichiales; Pichiaceae
Description: partial 26S ribosomal RNA
Rfam family: Eukaryotic large subunit ribosomal RNA
Source: RNAcentral
CGGGAUUGCCUCAGUAGCGGCGAGUGAAGCGGCAAGAGCUCAGAUUUGAAAUCGUGCUUUGCGGCACGAGUUGUAGAUUGCAGGUUGGAGUCUGUGUGGAAGGCGGUGUCCAAGUCCCUUGGAACAGGGCGCCCAGGAGGGUGAGAGCCCCGUGGGAUGCCGGCGGAAGCAGUGAGGCCCUUCUGACGAGUCGAGUUGUUUGGGAAUAA